Non-coding RNA from Struthio camelus australis, 1360 nucleotides. Lineage: Eukaryota; Metazoa; Chordata; Aves; Struthioniformes; Struthionidae. The record is from RefSeq and is a predicted model, not a curated record.
GACAUCAUGGCUUUUUCCAUGGCAACUCACCGUGCUGCCCGGGAGGAUGCUGAACGCAAGAGCAGAGCGCAAGGUUUUCAGCUGGAGCUGAGCAAGCAGCCACAGGUUAGAGGCUCCUUGUCCAUGCUCUUACCUGCUCAGAGGGAGGAGGCAAUCCCUAUUUAUCACCGUGUUAUCCCUUCUUAUCACCACCAUCUCCUGGCAGGGCCUCCCAGCGCCUUGACGCAGGCUGCAUUCAGAGUGUGCAAACAUUAGAGAGCCCCGGUGCGCAGUCAUGUAACAUUGAAGCAUGAGUGAACUGAAUAAUGAGUGGGCCGGGAGCCAGGAAAGCCUGCGUGGUGCUUCACCGCUCGCUCCCUGGACGCCCUUGAGCUGGUCACAUAACUUAGCAGAGCUGCUCCGUUCCCAUUCAUGAAACGGGCCUGGAAAUACCCCUCCUCUGCCCAUGUCGUGACUUCUAGACAUGCUGCCUGCUGCCAGCUGUUGACUGACCCUGGUUCGAUAAGCUGCAGGCUAAGACGGUGCAUUUCUGAUGAAACCAAAUUCUACUUUUUGCUCGUUCUCCCCCAAAAAUCUGUAUUUCAUUCAUGCUCUUGCUGCAUUGUCUGAUAACUCAACCAUAACUCCCUGGGACAAAGCUGCCAGUAUAGGGCCCUUAUCGCUGGUGAGAUUUCCUAGUCAUUGCCAGUCCGGAAAGGAUUAGGGAGUAAUAAAUGCUGGCCGAAGGACCGUGUGAGCUACUUUUGCCUGUGGCAGCGCUUUUGAACGUUAUGGUGCUGCCUUUGAUGAUGCUAAGUCUCACCUUCAGCGUUAAAUAUUUGUUCCCCGUAAAAGAACGUUUCCCCCUAUAUCAGAAACCCAACCUUCUUUAUGCAUUUUAUGUGUAAGGAAAACCAGCCAGCUGCAUAGGAAAAUGCAGCUGGGUCGCUGAGCAUUAGCCCGCCAGCUUGCAUCCAGCACGGCUCGUCCUCGUCAAGGAAUUGCAGAGGGGAACCGUGCUCUGUGCAGCAGGUACCAGCCUUCCUCUGCCUGGGUCGCAGACAGGUCCCGCUCUGGUGUGUCGUGCGCGUUUCUCGGUGCUUCGCUCAAAGCUCGAGUUAGUUUUGGAGACUCUGCUCUCCAAGCUGAUCAAGGCCCAGUAGGGUGGUCCCAGCCUCAGGUUUCUUCAAGUUUUUUUGGGACAUUUGCAGGAGCCAUUCUCUUCAUCACAGCCCUUUCCAGUCCCUGCAAAAGGCUCUUUUCUUUGCCCUGGCCCUGGGGCAGCACAGAUAAUACUUCUGCAGCAGAUUCGGCGUCCUUCCCAGCUCCACGUUCCCCUUGUGUCUGGCAGAUUUCACUGUUUCUGUUCUCCCAAGGUCUU